CUAACCUGGUUGAUCCUGCCAGUAGUCAUAUGCUUGUUUCAAGGACUAAGCCAUGCAUGCCUCAGAAUAACUGCAUUGCAGGACUCUGCGCAUGGCUCAUUACAUCAGACUUAAUCUGCCGCAAUAACGUUGCGGUCUCCGCAAGACUGGAUAUCUUGGCGAAACGUCAAGCUAAUACAUGAACUAACGGGUCU
This 194-nucleotide ribosomal RNA is filed under the name uncultured eukaryote. RNAcentral's name for it is "partial 18S ribosomal RNA". It matches the Rfam family "Eukaryotic small subunit ribosomal RNA", at positions 1 to 186 of the family's 1831-position model. The record is from RNAcentral.